GACGUAGGGUGCGAGCGUUGUCCGGAUUUAUUGGGCGUAAAGAGCGUGUAGGCGGCCAUGCAGGUCCGUUGUGAAAACUCGAGGCUCAACCUCGAGGCGCCGAUGGAAACCGCAUGGCUAGAGUCCGGAAGAGGAGAGUGGAAUUCCUGGUGUAGCGGUGAAAUGCGCAGAUAUCAGGAAGAACACCCGUGGCUAAGGCGGCUCUCUAGUACGGUACUGACGCUGAGACGCGAAAGCGUGGGGAGCGAACAGG
RNAcentral lists this ribosomal RNA (253 nucleotides) under uncultured bacterium. RNAcentral's name for it is "partial 16S ribosomal RNA". It matches the Rfam family "Bacterial small subunit ribosomal RNA", at positions 524 to 776 of the family's 1533-position model. The record is from RNAcentral.